AUAAGCAAUUUAAAAUAUAUGAGACUUGAAACUUUUUUAUGCAUAACAUAACAUGAUUACACAUAAAACAAUGAUAGACAAUAAGAGAGGUGAAUAGGAAUACAACUAUAUCAACCCAAGGGGGCCAAGACCCAUAUAAAUCCAUGAAAGACCAAAAAAAAAAAACACAUGAUAAUAUGCAUUAUUCCAACAAUCUUGAUUGUUCUUGUAAAAAGGUCGCACAUGACCAAAUCAGGAUUCAUAUGAUAUGCAUUAUUCCACUAAAUUGUCACCAUAUAUACCAGUGGUAUAAAAAAGAAAAAACAACUAAAAUCAAAUAUACAACCCUAACUUUUGCCCAGUAAUCAUCUUUUAACUUUUUGUUCGGGGGUGGGAGUGAUGUCCUCGUACUGUACUAUGACCAUUAUGAUUUAUUAUUGAAACUAAUCUUUUAGGUUAAUUAUAAAACACAGUUACACACAAAACCUUGAGUACUUUUCAACAUAAGGGUGAACGACUGAAGAGACAAAGAAGAGAGACAGAGAAAGAUUAUAGGUAAGAAAUAAAGAAAAGGGUCAUUCUUGUGAUAUAUAAAAGAAGUAAUCAACCACACUCAAACAAUCGACUUCCAUAAUUUUCCUAAGCAUAGAAAAAAAGAUUAAUCAUGUCAUCGUUUUGAUUAAUAGGCUAGAAAAAGACAAUGAGCAAUUUAAAAUAUAUGAGACUUGAAACUUUUUUACGCAUAACAUAACAUGAUUACACAUAAAACAUUGAUAGACAAUAAGAGAGGGUGAAUAGGAAUACAACUAUAUCAACCCAAGGGGGCCAAGACCCAUAUAAAUCCAUGCAAGACAACAAAAAAAAAAAAAAAGCAUGAUAAUAUGCAUUAUUCCAACAAUCUUGAUUGUUCUUGUAAAAAGGUCGCACAUGACCAAAUGAGGAUUCAUAUGAUAUGCAUUAUUCCACUAAAUUGUCAACAUAUAUACCAGUAGUAUAAAAAAGAAAAAACAACUAAAAUCAAAU
This 1002-nucleotide long non-coding RNA is filed under the name Prunus persica (peach). Its description in RNAcentral is "long non-coding RNA (PPER_LNC000743)". The record is from RNAcentral. Lineage: Eukaryota; Viridiplantae; Streptophyta; Magnoliopsida; Rosales; Rosaceae.